This 72-nucleotide ribosomal RNA is filed under the name Xanthomonas arboricola. RNAcentral's name for it is "partial 16S ribosomal RNA". It matches the Rfam family "Bacterial small subunit ribosomal RNA", at positions 1 to 72 of the family's 1533-position model. Lineage: Bacteria; Pseudomonadati; Pseudomonadota; Gammaproteobacteria; Lysobacterales; Lysobacteraceae. The record is from RNAcentral.
UAAGUGAAGAGUUUGAUCCUGGCUCAGAGUGAACGCUGGCGGCAGGCCUAACACAUGCAAGUCGAACGGCAG